GCACGCGCGGCGGCCAUUCAACCAAGAUGGCUGCUUGUGUUCAGAUCAUAUUUUGUUUAAUAUUAGAUAGAUAAUAUUGUUUAAUUUUGCUGCAUAUCGGAUGAGAUAUAGUAUAAAUUUGAUCAUAUUUCGAUAAUGUUUUGAAUAACUCAAUUAUAUUCAUUAGAUCAUUACAUAACUGAAAAAACAACCAUCAUUCUAAUAAAAUAGACGAGGUAUGCCUUGCGAAGGAAAAUAUUGCAGAAAGGAGCGUCAAUCAGUUUAAAUAAACUUUCAUUAAUAAAA
Bombyx mori (domestic silkworm) is the source of this 285-nucleotide long non-coding RNA. RefSeq lists it as uncharacterized. The record is from RefSeq and is a predicted model, not a curated record. The transcript has 2 exons. NCBI's taxonomy places the organism in Eukaryota, Metazoa, Arthropoda, Insecta, Lepidoptera, Bombycidae.